Non-coding RNA from Hymenopellis radicata, 89 nucleotides. The record is from the annotation of a GenBank genome assembly. NCBI's taxonomy places the organism in Eukaryota, Fungi, Basidiomycota, Agaricomycetes, Agaricales, Physalacriaceae.
GGCGCUAUGGUGUAGCGGUAGCACACGGGAUUCUGAUUCGGUAGAUCUCCGUUCUUCCCGUAACCCAGGUUCGAUCCCUGGUAGUGCCU